RNAcentral lists this ribosomal RNA (342 nucleotides) under uncultured bacterium. RNAcentral's name for it is "bacterial SSU rRNA". It matches the Rfam family "Bacterial small subunit ribosomal RNA", at positions 1 to 334 of the family's 1533-position model. The record is from RNAcentral.
ACAGAUCGUUCAGAGUUUGAUCCUGGCUCAGGAUGAACGCUAGCGGCAGGCUUAACACAUGCAAGUCGAGGGGCAGCGGGAUGUAGCAAUACAUUGCCGGCGACCGGCGCAAGGGUGCGUAACGCGUGAGCAACAUGCCCGUCACAGGAGGAUAAACCAUGGAAACGUGGCCUAAUACUCCAUAGUAUAUCAGAAAGGCAUCUUUUUGAUAUUAAAGCUACGGUGGUGACGGAUUGGCUCGCGUGACAUUAGCUAGAUGGAGAGGUAACGGCUCACCAUGGCGACGAUGUCUAGGGGAACUGAGAGGUUAAUCCCCCACACUGGUACUGAGACACGGACCAG